This is an RNA transcript of Strigops habroptila (Kakapo), 6277 nucleotides long. It is a transcript of the gene named paraspeckle component 1, with no coding region annotated. The transcript is spliced from 12 exons. The record is from RefSeq and is a predicted model, not a curated record. Lineage: Eukaryota; Metazoa; Chordata; Aves; Psittaciformes; Psittacidae.
CACGGCGGUGGGCGGGGCGUGCCUCAGGGACGUUACAACUCGCCGAGGUUGGCGGCGGCGCCAUUUUGAACUGGCUGAGGGUCGGGGGCGGUGGUGGCCGGAGCGGGCUCCGCGUUCCCUGAGAAAGCCAGUGAGGAGGGAGAGAGGUCUGAAUAUGGCAGCGAAUAGGAACUUGAAGCAAGUGCGGAUCGAGAAUAGCUCCCCAGCGGCGCCGCUGGGCAUGGUGGGGGGUGGUGGCGGCAGCGGCAACCUGAAGGGAUUGCGGGGCCUAGAAACUGAGAGUGAGGCAGCGGCGGCCAUGGCGCUAGUGCCGAGCAAAGAAGGUGGAGAUGAAGAGCAGGAGGUUGGGUUCACCAUCGAUAUCAAAAGCUUCCUCAAACCUGGCGAGAAGAGCUACACGCAACGCUGCAGGCUGUUCGUGGGGAAUCUGCCUACCGAUAUCACAGAGGAAGAUUUCAAGCGCCUCUUCGAGCGCUAUGGGGAGCCUAGCGAGGUCUUCAUCAAUCGGGACCGUGGCUUUGGCUUCAUUCGCCUGGAAUCUAGGACACUGGCUGAAAUAGCAAAGGCGGAACUUGAUGGUACUAUUUUGAAGAGCAGACCACUUCGAAUUCGAUUUGCUACACAUGGAGCUGCCCUAACAGUCAAGAAUCUUUCACCUGUGGUUUCUAAUGAGCUGCUGGAACAAGCAUUCUCUCAAUUUGGGCCAGUGGAAAGAGCUGUUGUUGUAGUAGAUGAUCGUGGCAGAGCUACAGGAAAAGGUUUCGUAGAGUUUGCAGCAAAACCUCCAGCACGGAAAGCUCUAGAAAGAUGCAGUGAUGGGGCAUUCUUGCUAACAACAACACCUCGACCUGUUGUUGUAGAGCCAAUGGAGCAGUUUGAUGAUGAAGAUGGGCUCCCAGAGAAGCUAAUGCAAAAAACCCAACAGUAUCACAAGGAAAGAGAACAGCCUCCACGUUUUGCUCAGCCUGGAACAUUUGAGUUUGAGUAUGCUUCACGGUGGAAGGCUCUUGAUGAGAUGGAAAAGCAACAGCGUGAACAGGUUGACAGGAACAUUAGAGAAGCCAAAGAGAAACUAGAGGCAGAAAUGGAAGCAGCUAGACAUGAGCAUCAGCUAAUGCUGAUGAGGCAAGAUCUCAUGCGACGUCAAGAAGAAUUGAGGCGUUUGGAAGAACUUCGAAAUCAAGAGCUUCAAAAACGCAAGCAGAUACAAUUGAGACAUGAGGAAGAACAUCGACGUCGUGAGGAAGAGAUGCUGCGGCAGAGAGAACAGGAGGAAUUACGACGACAGCAGGAGGGAGGAUUCAAACCAAAUUUCAUGGACAAUAGAGAACAGGAAAUGAGAAUGGGUGAUAUGGGUCCUCGUGGAGCAAUAAACAUGGGAGAUGCGUUUAGCCCAGCACCUGCUGGUAACCAAGGCCCUCCUCCAAUGAUGGGUAUGAAUAUGAACAACAGAGGAACUUUACCUGGCCCUGCAAUGGGUCCUGGUCCUUCCAUGGGACCAGAAGGAGCUGCAAAUAUGGGAACACCAAUGAUGCCAGAUAAUGGAACAGUGGUAAACCUGAACAAAUGCAAACAUGAACACAGCUCUGCGGAUCAUCUCGGGUUCUCUUUGGAAACCCCAAAUAAAUGGCCACAAGGGAUUGUGUGUUUUCCUGUGAACAGCUCGGCAUUGGAUUCCUUCCUUUCUGUGUGAUGGAUAGUGGCUCUGCUGCUCUCAAAAUGAUACCUGUGCCUGCUGGUGCGAAAUGUCAUAUGGUUCACUUCAGUGGAAGUCACACUUUACCCAUGCUGCUGUUAUGUGUUGCUAGGUUACUGUUAAAAUCUUAAAAUGCAGAUGAAGACUGGCUUGUGCAGAAUCCUUCUGCUGUCUUACACAUACGAAAGGGAAUCUAAACCAAGUUUUGUACAAGCUGAAAUUGGGGACGCCUUUCACAGAAUCCCAGAAUGACUGAGAUUGGAAGAGUGCUGUGAAGAUUGUCUAACCCAAAACUCUGCUCGAAGCAGGAUGUCAGAUGGGUCUGCCCUGUGAGGCGUGGGGCAGUGGCACAGUUGGAAAGGAUGGGAGGACCCACAUGGAGCGUGUCCCACCCGUACCCAGGACUAGGAAAGACACAUCAGAAGAACCUGCAAAGAGUGUCUGCCUGCAGGGUUCAAGAUGCUUGUUCCUGGAUGAGGCAACGAGUUCCAGGUUUGUGACACUGCUGUCCCUUGCAGAGGUGGAGGUCUCCACAGUGCAAAGCAGAGUCGAGCUUUUACUAGUAAAGCUGAUAUUUUGGCCAACCUUGGUGCGUUGCUGAAGUCUUGACUCCCUUUCUAGCUAGGCUGUACCAGAAGCAUAUUUUCUUUCCAGAAAUACUAGUGCUGGGAAAUGGUGUUGAUAAAAGGGUUAAAGUUUGUAUAUGCUACAAGAAUCAGAGUAAAUGAUACAUUAAAAGACUUCUCCUUGCUUAAACAGUGGGAUUUGGACUGAAAAGAAAAAAAGCCAUUAGAGUUAAAUGAGUAAAAAAAUAUUUUCAAGCAUUAAAAUAUGUGACAAAAGAUAGGAAAGUGGUGGUUCUAGUUAAACAAAAAAGUGUGGAUUGUGUUUGGGCUGCAGUACAGUUUAAAACAGCACAGAAGUAUUUGUUAUCUGAGCCAGCAACAGCUGGAAGGGAGUGGGAGGCAGCGUUAACUGAUGGGGAGGCGAGAGCUGCACUGAGGUUGCACUUUCAGGAUAAAAAUGCCUGCUGCCUUAGUGUAGCCCAAUAAAAAGAUGAAAACCCAAAACCAUCAAUGAAAUGAAUAAUGAAAGAUGAAUGUUGAUGCAAUCAGAGUUUAGCAUUGUACUGUAACAUACCACCAGGGUUUUGUUAGGGUUUCUGUAUCUAUUAUAAAACUGUUUCAAAUUAAACAGUGAAUAACAGGAUGUUUAUUUUCUACUUCCUGAAAUCAGCAGGCAGUGAACACAGAUCCAGGGCCUGACGGGAAUGUCGCCAAGUUCAGAAAAAGCAGAUAAAUGUCGUGCAGAGGGCACUGCAUUAACCAGUGCUGUGGUGCAGCCUGGGUAGGCAAGCUUGCCUCUCUGUUCAGUGCUCUACGACUGCAGUUGGAGUGCUGUGACCGGUUCUGGGCUCCUGAACACCAGAUGUAUGUGGGAACAGGCUGGUGGAGGCCACCAUGAUGAUCAGGAGGUUAAAGCCCAGGAGCCAUGGGGAUGGCAGUGGGGUUUGUAGUCUGGAAAACAGGAGCUCGGGGGGCAGGAGAUCACCUUCUUCAGCUGUGUAAUGGACAGAGGGGGAGAAGAUGGAGCCAGGCUCACCUUAGCAGUACACAGUAGUGAGAAAAUCUUGUAUAACUACCGGUGUAUCCAAGUGUUGUAUCACACCACUAACAAAACCUGUGCAAUCAGUACUGUCUUGCUGCAGUUAAUUGGUUUCCCCACAAUGUGGAACCAUUGGAAGUUCCUGGUAACCCUUUUGUUUCAGGGAAGGAGGACACAGGGAGCCAGUCUUGGGGCUGGGAGGUGAUGUUCACUUGUUGGGUUUAGGGGUCUUGAUCCUGCUGUCCACAGAAAAAACAAUGUAUAGAUCCGACAGAUCCAGGAAAGCCUGGGAAACUUCAAAUCCUUGCAUAUCUCCUGUGCAAACGCCUCAGACACGAUGUCUGAACCAGCUUGGUAAAGCUUUUUGAAAAAACAGUAAUAAAUACACAUGUAAGCAAGGCCUUCGCACCCCAGGGCUCUGGCUGUUACUGUUCCUGGCAGGGAGAGCAGCUUUCUCCCUCUAAUACAGAUGACUGCGUUCAUGGAAUGGUUUGGAUUGAAAAGGACCUUAAUAUCUAUCAUCUAGUUCCAACCCCUGCUGUGGCAGGAACACCUCCCUCUAGACCAGGUUGCUCAAGGCAUGCAACUGCUGUCAUCACAGGCCCAACUGGGCUUUUAUUCCCCAAAUUCAUAUUCUCUCCUCUUGGCUAUGGGAUGUCUGUACAAGGAACAGCACAAGAGAACAAGACUUCUUGUCAGGAAGUGGGGGUUUGUGGUAUAGACCAGGAUGUCACCCCAGGGGCAGUCCUGUCACUGUUGAAAACACUGCAGCACAUCCCAUACCACUGCAGUGACUCAGUACUGGAGCAGCUGGGGGCUCCCUGGUCUGUUGUCAUGUCCAGUCCCUGCACACGUGGCUUUGGUUGUUGUAAAAGCAGAGCUGGGCCUCCUGUCAUUUUAACAGUGGCCCACACAUGAGAGGAGCCUGGCAAUGCCAGGGCCUGACCUACCCACUGUAUGGGUUGCACGAGUAACCAGCUAUGGAACAGUUUGUUGCUGUUCAAAGCAUGUAGGAAGUAUUACAGAAAUUCUUGGAAAAAACCCACCCUGUUUUCCAGUGCCGUGGCAAUAGAAUUACAGCAGGUACAGACAGAGCACUUCCAGGACUCGGAGCAAUCCUGGCUGGCUGAGAUAGCCACUGUGCUCUUUGGUACCUGUCUCUUCCCCUGUGUUGAAGCUGCUUUCUUCCAUUCAGACUAACGGAAAACAUCUUGGUUUUGAGAACUGGCUGCAGAAAAUGCACCGAGGACCUGUGACAAAGUCAGCAUCACCCACUACACAUCAUCUGUGGGAGAGGCCAGGACCACCAGGACUGAUGAUGAAGCAGUGAAAGAUAACAGACUCAAGCCUCCAGAAACACAUACUACUACCCUUGCACUUCAUCAUAAUAGCAGCAAGAAGAAACUGAGCAAGAACUUUAAAGGUAUUUCUCAACAGCACUUGAAGAACUAUUUUUAUUGUAACUACCUUCUCUUCAUCCUUUGUCCACCAAAACCUUGUUCUUAGCAACUGAAUAAAACCAUGCAAUAGAAUCAGACAAAAACCAGCUUCAAACAUCUUUUCACAUGCCUUUUAUGCAUCUUCAGCAGGGAUUUGGAGUUUAUAUUGCCAACUACAAGAGGAAGAUGGCUACAAAAUCCAUCCUUUAAUAAAAGCAUCAUGAACCCAAAUUUUAUUCCCAUGUCCUGUAGAACUCCUCCCUGUCUCUUACACAAAACCCCCAAACUCCCCAACUCAUCAGCCUUUGACAAACUAAUUGCUAUGAUGUCAGCUCCUGGACCAUGACUGUCUAUUUUUAGGUCAGACUGUACAAUAGUUUCUAAACAGCAUCUGUGUAAGGUGGACAUCAGUUCCUCAACCUUUUGUCCUUGUCUUCAACAGCUCCAACAUUUACCAGAGACAGGUACUGUACAGAACUGGUCACGCAUGUGCCAGCUCCCCUUAUAUGUACACCAAGGAGUGACUGUGGAAGGGGGAGCCAUACACAUGGGCACCAUCACCCCAGCGUAAGGGAGCACUCAUGCAUGUCCCCUCUCUGUGUUCAUCGUCCGGGGAUACACGCAGCAACUAUAAAGACCCAGACCCACACGUGGUCCCAAGAUGGGCGGCUGUUCUAAACCAGAACAACGUGAGCGGUCGUAGGUCGUGUUGCUGUUCUAGUUUCCUAUAGCUCGAUGCAAUAUUCCACAGCACUGAAGCAGCGUGCUUUGGUACCCACACACUUUGAAUCUCUUACAUAUAAAAAGGUUAAAAAACUUUUAAGAACCCAAAUGAAAAAGCGGUUAAUUGAACUUUGUAUUAAAAAGUCACAGUUUUUAAAAGAAUACAUCGGCACCGUUUUGAUGGCGAGCACUCAAAUACAUCAAGAGUUUAUCUCCAAUGGUUUCUCCAAUAUUAUAGGCACAUAGUGGCAUGUAAACUACACGUGGCAACCAGAACAGCAAAGGCACAAUCUGGUUUUAUUUUUUUUGUUUUUUUGUUGUUACGCUUCUCAAGAUGUUGGUUAAUUUACAAAGAAAAAUAUUCUAUACUUCAUGCAGAAGUAUUACAUUUGUAGCACAGGACCGUUACAGAACUGCUGUCAUUUAAAUAAUAAUAAUAAAAAAAAAAGAUAGCAGCUCUUUGCACUGAGGAACUGGAUUUCUGCAUUGAAGGACAAUACGUUUUCUUAUCUGGCAGGCUGAGAACAUCUCAGAUAGAUUGUUGAUGGAUCUUCCCUGCCUACAUCAAGCACCGCCUGCACACCGAAGGGAGUUACAAGUUCUCUGGUUUGCUAUUUUUACCUUGUAUUUAUUUUCCCAUAUGUCCAAGAAUGUCAAAGAAGUCACAAGUAAAGCUGUCUGUAAAACUACCAGUUGCUUCUCUAACACAAAAGUAGUUUUAAAACACUGGUGUAAGUAGGAAUCCGACUGCGCUCCUCUAGUAGCUGGGCCUGUCCCAAUGCCAUUGCUGGUGCCUGCAGACCUCACUGUGUGU